This 484-nucleotide ribosomal RNA is filed under the name uncultured bacterium. RNAcentral's name for it is "bacterial SSU rRNA". It matches the Rfam family "Bacterial small subunit ribosomal RNA", at positions 28 to 523 of the family's 1533-position model. The record is from RNAcentral.
GACGAACGCUGGCGGCGUGCCUAACACAUGCAAGUCGAACGAGGUCCAGGGAAGCUUGCUUCCUGAAGACCUAGUGGCGAACGGGUGAGUAACACGUGAGAAACCUGCCUCGGAGCGGGGAAUAACUCGGGGAAACUCGAGCUAAUACCGCAUACCUUCACAUGAUCGCAUGGUCGAGUGAAGAAAGAAUUUCGCUCUGAGAGGGUCUCGCGGCCUAUCAGCUUGUUGGUGGGGUAACGGCCUACCAAGGCAACGACGGGUAGCUGGUUUGAGAGAACGAUCAGCCACACUGGGACUGAGACACGGCCCAGACUCCUACGGGAGGCAGCAGUGGGGAAUCUUGCGCAAUGGGCGAAAGCCUGACGCAGCAACGCCGCGUGCGGGAUGACGGCCUUCGUGGUUGUAAACCGCUUUCAGCAGGGACGAAAAUAGACGGUACCUGCAGAAGAAGACCCGGCUAACUACGUGCCAGCAGCCGCGGUAA